This 451-nucleotide ribosomal RNA is filed under the name uncultured bacterium. RNAcentral describes it as "bacterial SSU rRNA". It matches the Rfam family "Bacterial small subunit ribosomal RNA", at positions 958 to 1400 of the family's 1533-position model. The record is from RNAcentral.
AACGCGAAGAACCUUACCUGGGCUUGACAUGCAUCGUGUCGCCGGUGAAAGCCGGCUAGUGUAGCAAUACACGCUUUGCACAGGUGCUGCAUGGCUGUCGUCAGCUCGUGUCGUGAGAUGUUGGGUUAAGUCCCGCAACGAGCGCAACCCUUGUGAACUGUUGCUACCCAGCACUUCGGUGUUGGGGCACUCUGUUCAGACUGCCCUGUGAAACGGGGAGGAAGGUGGGGAUGACGUCAAGUCCUCAUGGCCUUUAUGUCCAGGGCUACACACGUGCUACAAUGGCCGGUACAAACCGUCGCAAACUCGCGAGAGGGAGCUAAUCGGAAAAAGCCGGCCUCAGUUCGGAUUGGAGUCUGCAACUCGACUCCAUGAAGCUGGAAUCGCUAGUAAUCGCGGAUCAGCACGCCGCGGUGAAUACGUUCCCGGGCCUUGUACACACCGUAGAGAC